ACACUAACAAUACAUCGUGUCAAACUAAAUCUAAAAAUGAGUUAUACACACAUUCACACUUAAGUACGAAUGAAGGUAUGCAUGAAUGUGUAUCCAUAGAAUAAAAACAAAAACAAAAAAAUAAUAAAAUUAAAUGAAACAAAGAAAACAAAAAAUGAUAAUAUGUGCAUACAUACAUAUGGUUGUAUUUGUAAUGGAAUUUCACACUAAUGCGGAUGAGAUAUUGUUUGAGUAUACUCACAGUAUACUGUGUUUGUAUGAAGCUGAACACAUACAUAUGACACUGACUGUGUGAAUCGUUUUUUAACGUCGUCGUCGUCUGUCUAUUGAAUUGGUUUUUGGCUCUGGCUGGUUCUUGGUUGAGAGUGUUUAAAGAGGGGGAAGGAAAACAAACGAACUAUUCGAUGAUAUUGCGUCAACAACUGAUCACAAACAAGUAUUUAUUUGAAACAUGGCAACAUGUAUAUUUUUAUACAUUUGUUGGUGGGUAUCAAACAAAAACCUGUUUGUCAACAGUAGACUCCCUGGUCAUGUAUAUUUAAAAAUGAAAUUAAAUGUAGGCGUUGUGGCGCUCUUUGCUUUUGCGGGCAAAAUAUGUACAUACGUAUAUAGCCUAUAAUAUAAAACUUCCUGGAUCAACCGCGCAUAAAAAAUAUGUUUUAUUUUGUGGUAUUCAUUUGAUUUUUAUAAAUAAAACUGCUUAACUUGGACUUUCCCUUGGAGGAAGCGAAUAGAUUUUUUGGAGCCAGUAACCACACAUCAGUUCGAUAUUAAAUUUCAACUUAAAACAAGGUGUCAUAUGAGUCGGACAGGGCCAAGUUUAUGAUGCACUACAGUAGUAUGUUAAAAAUUUAGAUUAUUUUUUUAUAAUAAAGCAUUUAAUUUGUUUUUUACUUCAAUUCCAAAAUAUUUUUACGAUUUGUUGGCGAAAAAUAUGGUUUAUAAAGAAGUAAGCGUAAAUAUGGACCUGUCCUUAUAAAUUUUAGUAGAGGUAUUUAAAUCUACGUUAAAGUUGUUUAUGCUUAUUAGUGUUUGAAAGUAAAUAGGUAUUGAGGCCCGAUUAUG
This is a long non-coding RNA of Lucilia cuprina (Australian sheep blowfly), 1065 nucleotides long. RefSeq lists it as uncharacterized. Lineage: Eukaryota; Metazoa; Arthropoda; Insecta; Diptera; Calliphoridae. The transcript is spliced from 3 exons. The record is from RefSeq and is a predicted model, not a curated record.